CUUCGGCGGCUGCCGGGCCCGGCGGCGCUGCAGCAGGCGGAGGACGCCCCGCGGCGGCGAGGAGCGCGGGGCCGAGGUUGGUACAGAGAUGAGUUCCAGCCAAGACCUCACUUUCUUAUGUCCUGAAUAGCUCUUGGGAAGUUGCUGGCUUGACCCUGGAGACUUAACAGUCUAAUUUUUUAAUAACUGAAGGAUUAUUUUUUUUAAUUUAAAAAAGGACUCAUUUUAGCUGUCGCAUAAGCAUGCAUUAUAUCCCAAUACUUCAAUCGGAGCUGCACAGGCAUAUCUGAGAGCACAAUUAGGCCCUCUGGACCUUUUAAAGCUUCAAAAAUAGUCAUGUGUAAUUCCUUCUUCUGUGGAUCCUGCAAGCUUUAAGAGAUUUUUUGAAAGCUGUAAAUUCCUAUUUAUCCACUAAGAGGCUCACGGGCAAUCUUCCCCUAAUGGAAAUAGAACUGUAAAGCUGAAACAUUAAUAUACACAAUAUGAUACAUUAGGCAGGGAGACUCGUCGGAGCCAACAAGAGGGCACAGUGGCCAUGCCGCGACGGAGCCGGAGCCAAACAGGUUCACUCCACUUUCUUGGCUUCCUGCAUGCAGGGUUCACUAUCUGAUUUAUAUCGUUAGUACUGCACAGUUCCCUCUUUAAAAAUAAAUAAAUAAAAAAAACAACAGACCCAUCUGACCUUUGAAUCCCUCAUCUGCAUUGGCUGGCAGCUGGCGCUGGCGAAUCGGAGGGCACAGUUUGGUCUAAAAGCAAGACAGCUAUUCCCCAAUAACUGCGCUGUUAAUAUGCAAAUCUCAGCCCUCUGCCAACUGUAAUCUCCCGCCUCUGAUUGGCUUCAGUGAUGACAAAGAUCCAGGUUAUUCAUUAGCAGGGAAAAUAUGCUCUCCAGGUUCCCCCUUAAGAUGAAGCAUUAUAAAGCCUCAAGAACGUGCAGGCUAGUAACAAACAACAACAAAACAAGACAAAGAGAAGCCAAGAAAAUGGGAUUAAAAACACAGUAAAAGAGAAAACUGCAUUUAAAAAUUUUCCUGAUUCCUUUUCUUCUUCCUUGCUUUCCCUCGGGAGUUUUGCCAGUUACUGCAGAUGGGCCAUUUUUGUUUUGGUUUUUUUUUCCAACCCUUGUUUUCUACAUAUGAUGUUGUACUCAAGUUCACAGCAGAAGACUUGAAUUUGUUCUGAGAACGUAAUUUCUGUGCUGGAAGGCGUGCACGUGUCUGUCUCCGUGAGUCAGCUUUCUUGGCUGGCAAACAGAAUACUAGGAGGCAAUGUAUCAACAUGUAUUGAUAAAUAUCUUGAUACCAAAAAUGGAAUGGAGCAAUUGAGCAAGAAGCAGUCCAUGGUUCAACACUUCAAAAGCCAUUGCAAAAAUCAGCCACCAAUAUCCGCACCAAUAUUGGUUUAUUCUUCACAGAAGGCCAGACUUAGCUAACCUCUGAACUUAGCAGAAUGUUGUGCAAGACAUGAGCUGAUGGGAAUGCUUGUGCCAACUAAACUGUCGAGACAAACAGAUCAUUUUCCAUCAGCAUCCAAUACAGCAUACAAGAGUAAGAUGUGUUCUGCAUUACAUGGAAUAAAAACUAAAUAAUUCUACUGACUCUAAUAGUGUUAAAUUCUGAGGAACCUUUGCAGAACUGGGUUGGGCUUGGGUGUCUCCAAAGCAGGUGUGCAGCCACUCUGCUCCUCCAUCUUUGGCUUUAUUUUGUAAAUUUUUCUUUGUUCUUGCAAUUCACCUUUCCUGAAACACAACAAGGUGCACUCUAUUCACUCCAGUACAGAUGCAGCCAGCUCUCCUGCUUCCUGCUUUGAGGUUGGAGAUGAGAUCAAGUUGGUAACUUCAUAGAUCAAUGUAUCUGGGCUGAAAUUGUGUUCCCAAUAAAAUCAGUAUUAAUUUUAUCAUC
Corvus hawaiiensis (hawaiian crow) is the source of this 1901-nucleotide long non-coding RNA. RefSeq lists it as uncharacterized. The record is from RefSeq and is a predicted model, not a curated record. Lineage: Eukaryota; Metazoa; Chordata; Aves; Passeriformes; Corvidae. The transcript is spliced from 2 exons.